AAGAGUAAGGGUGCUCAGCGCCCGACCUCCAACCCUUUGUUGUUAAAACUACCUUGUUGCUUUGGCGGGACCGCUCGGUCUCGAGCCGCUGGGGAUUCGUCCCAGGCGAGCGCCCGCCAGAGUUAAACCAAACUCUUGUUAUUAAACCGGUCGUCUGAGUUAAAAUUUUGAAUAAAUCA
RNAcentral lists this unclassified non-coding RNA (179 nucleotides) under uncultured Aureobasidium. RNAcentral describes it as "sequence contains ITS1". The record is from RNAcentral. Lineage: Eukaryota; Fungi; Ascomycota; Dothideomycetes; Dothideales; Dothioraceae.